CCUACGGGUGGCAGCAGUGAGGAAUAUUGGGCAAUGGGCGCAAGCCUGACCCAGCCAUGCCGCGUGCAGGAUGACGGCGCUAUGCGUUGUAAACUGCUUUUAUUCAGAAAGAAACCCAUCUACGUGUAGGUGGUUGACGGUACUGAAUGAAUAAGCAUCGGCUAACUCCGUGCCAGCAGCCGCGGUAAUACGGAGGAUGCAAGUGUUAUCCGGAUUCAUUGGGUCUAAAGGGUGCGUAGGCGGAAUAUUAAGUCAGUGAUGAAAUCCUGCAGCUUAACUGUAGAACUGUUAUUGAUACUGGUAUUCUUGAAUGCAGUUGAGGUAGGCGGAAUGUGUAAUGUAGCGGUGAAAUGCUUAGAUAUUACACAGAACACCGAUUGCGAAGGCAGCUUACUAAACUGUGAUUGACGCUGAGGCACGAAAGCGUGGGGAGCAAACAGGAUUAGAUACCCUUGUAGUCAA
This 462-nucleotide ribosomal RNA is filed under the name uncultured Bacteroidales bacterium. RNAcentral describes it as "bacterial SSU rRNA". It matches the Rfam family "Bacterial small subunit ribosomal RNA", at positions 338 to 797 of the family's 1533-position model. Lineage: Bacteria; Pseudomonadati; Bacteroidota; Bacteroidia; Bacteroidales. The record is from RNAcentral.